GACGAACGCUGGCGGCGUGCCUAAUACAUGCAAGUCGAACGAGUGGCGGACGGGUGAGUAAUGUCUGGGAACCUCCCCGAUGGGGGGGGCAACAUCCGGAAACCGGUACCUAAUACCCCUAACCUUCGAAUUUGCCCAGAUGGGAUUAGCUAGUAGGUGGGGUAACGGCUCACCUCGGCGACGAUCCCUAGCUGGUCUGAGAGGAUGACCAGCCACACUGGAACUGAGACACGGUCCAGACUCCUACGGGAGGCAGCAGUGGGGAAUAUUGCACAAUGGGCGCAAGCCUGAUGCAGCCAUGCCGCGUGUAUGAAGAAGGCCUUCGGGUGGUAAAGUACUUUCAGCGAGGAGGCGUUACUCGCAGAAGAAGCACCGGCUAACUCCGUGCCAGCAGCCGCGGUAAUAC
Molecule: ribosomal RNA, 406 nt
Filed under: uncultured bacterium
Lineage: Bacteria
Description: partial 16S ribosomal RNA
Rfam family: Bacterial small subunit ribosomal RNA
Source: RNAcentral